This 1380-nucleotide ribosomal RNA is filed under the name Klebsiella sp. UIWRF0351. RNAcentral describes it as "bacterial SSU rRNA". It matches the Rfam family "Bacterial small subunit ribosomal RNA", at positions 61 to 1433 of the family's 1533-position model. The record is from RNAcentral. Lineage: Bacteria; Pseudomonadati; Pseudomonadota; Gammaproteobacteria; Enterobacterales; Enterobacteriaceae.
GUCGAGCGGUAGCACAGAGAGCUUGCUCUCGGGUGACGAGCGGCGGACGGGUGAGUAAUGUCUGGGAAACUGCCUGAUGGAGGGGGAUAAGUACUGGAAACGGUAGCUAAUACCGCAUAAUGUCGCAAGACCAAAGUGGGGGACCUUCGGGCCUCAUGCCAUCAGAUGUGCCCAGAUGGGAUUAGCUAGUAGGUGGGGUAACGGCUCACCUAGGCGACGAUCCCUAGCUGGUCUGAGAGGAUGACCAGCCACACUGGAACUGAGACACGGUCCAGACUCCUACGGGAGGCAGCAGUGGGGAAUAUUGCACAAUGGGCGCAAGCCUGAUGCAGCCAUGCCGCGUGUGUGAAGAAGGCCUUCGGGUUGUAAAGCACUUUCAGCGGGGAGGAAGGCGUURAGGUUAAUAACCUUMYCGAUUGACGUUACCCGCAGAAGAAGCACCGGCUAACUCCGUGCCAGCAGCCGCGGUAAUACGGAGGGUGCAAGCGUUAAUCGGAAUUACUGGGCGUAAAGCGCACGCAGGCGGUCUGUCAAGUCGGAUGUGAAAUCCCCGGGCUCAACCUGGGAACUGCAUUCGAAACUGGCAGGCUAGAGUCUUGUAGAGGGGGGUAGAAUUCCAGGUGUAGCGGUGAAAUGCGUAGAGAUCUGGAGGAAUACCGGUGGCGAAGGCGGCCCCCUGGACAAAGACUGACGCUCAGGUGCGAAAGCGUGGGGAGCAAACAGGAUUAGAUACCCUGGUAGUCCACGCCGUAAACGAUGUCGAUUUGGAGGUUGUGCCCUUGAGGCGUGGCUUCCGGAGCUAACGCGUUAAAUCGACCGCCUGGGGAGUACGGCCGCAAGGUUAAAACUCAAAUGAAUUGACGGGGGCCCGCACAAGCGGUGGAGCAUGUGGUUUAAUUCGAUGCAACGCGAAGAACCUUACCUGGUCUUGACAUCCACAGAACUUUCCAGAGAUGSWUUGGUGCCUUCGGGAACUGUGAGACAGGUGCUGCAUGGCUGUCGUCAGCUCGUGUUGUGAAAUGUUGGGUUAAGUCCCGCAACGAGCGCAACCCUUAUCCUUUGUUGCCAGCGGUUCGGCCGGGAACUCAAAGGAGACUGCCAGUGAUAAACUGGAGGAAGGUGGGGAUGACGUCAAGUCAUCAUGGCCCUUACGACCAGGGCUACACACGUGCUACAAUGGCAUAUACAAAGAGAAGCGACCUCGCGAGAGCAAGCGGACCUCAUAAAGUAUGUCGUAGUCCGGAUUGGAGUCUGCAACUCGACUCCAUGAAGUCGGAAUCGCUAGUAAUCGUAGAUCAGAAUGCUACGGUGAAUACGUUCCCGGGCCUUGUACACACCGCCCGUCACACCAUGGGAGUGGGUUGCAAAAGAAGUAGGUAG